CGUCAAGAGGAAGAUGGAGCAGGAUUUGCGCAGCUUGCGCCAGGAUGAGCGGUCAGUGACUGAGUACGAGAGGGAGUUCUCCCGGAUACUACACUGUGUACCGUUCGUUGUGAGGGACGACGAGGACAAGGCCCGCAUCUUUGAGCGCGGUUUGCGGCCUUCUAUCUUUCGGUUGGUGCAGUCUUCCAACCUCCAGACCUACCGGGAGGUUGUGGAUCGAGCUUUGAUAGUGGAGGCAGGAGCGGCGGAUCUGCAGGAGCGUCGCGAGAGCUUGGAGAAAGGGAAGGGAAGAGGCCCGCGGCUGAGGGUGCGAGUCAGAUGCACUCACGGAGGCCGCCGAGGCAUCCCAGGAGCAGGAGCCAGUCGCGAGGACGCGGCCAGUCUACCCAGCGAGGAGGACCCGAUCGUCUCCAGGUCCCCCGCUGCGUGAUCUGUGGCGGUCCUCAUUACCCACGGCAGUGUUCACGCAGCCGGGGCAGGUGCUUCUUGUGUGGCCAAGAGGGCCACUUCCAGUCGGACUGCCCGAGGAGUCCGUUGCCAGCGCCAUCUGCGGCAUCUGCACCAGCAUCGCCAGGUCCCAGCCAGGGGACAUCUUCUGCGCAUCACCAGGCAGGGCGGCUGCCAGCUCUGCGACAGGCGGAGGGGUCACGACAGGCCCCGAGCGGGCGCAUGUACGCAGCCCAGACUGAGGAGGCGGCGGCAGCCGAGAAUGUAGUCGCAGGUAUCAUUUUACUUCAUGGUAUUCGAGUAAGACUUUGUUUGAUACCGGUGCAUCGCAUUCAUUCAUUGAUCGGCUAUUUGCCGAGCUGCAUGGCAUUCCACUUGUAUCCCUGUUGCCCCCGGGACAAGUCGUUGUACCCGACCAUUCCUUGGACAUUCGGGAGUUUUGCCCCAGUUGCCCUAUUCGGGUUGGAGAUUGGAUCAUGCCCGUGGACUUGUUAGCGUUGCAUAAACUCGGGGAGUUUGACGUUGUGUUGGGCAUGGAUUGGUUGACUAAGUACUACGCCACUAUCGAUUGAAAAGAUCGAGCGGUGACGUUUAGAGAGCCGGGGCAGGCGGAGGUUGUGUACCGAGGAUGCCAGAGUUCGCUGUUUGCGAUGACGAUUAGCUCCUCUCGAGCUAGGCAGUUGAUUAGUAGAGGCUGCGUAGCCUACUUGGCUACUGUGAUGUUGCAGGGUGUGGAUGACGCCCCUAGGAUUGAGGAUAUCCCCGUAGUGCGGGAGUUUGGAGACGUGUUUCCUGCGGAGCUUCCAAGCAUGCCACCUGAUAGGGAAAUUGAGUUUGUGGUAGAUCUCGUCCCCGGGACUACCCCGAUCUCAAAGGCACCCUAUAGGAUGGCACCAGCAGAAUUGAAGAAGCUGAAGGCACAGCUGCAGGAUCUUCUGGACAAGGGUUUUGUGCGACCGAGUGUGUCACCUUGGGGAGCACCGGUCCUAUUUGUCAAGAAGAAGGAUGGAUCACUUCGCUUGUGUGUGGACUAUCGUGAACUUAAUAAAGUCACGAUUAAGAACAAGUAUCCAUUGUCGAGGAUUGAUGAUCUAUUUGAUCAACUCUAGGGAUCUUGUGUAUAUUCCAAGAUUGACUUGGAGUCGGGAUAUCACCAGUUGAGGAUCAGACCUGAGGAUGUAUCGAAGACGGCUUUUAGAACACGGUAUGGACAUUAUGAGUUUACUGUUAUGCCGUUUGGGCUUACUAAUGCCCCGGCAGCUUUUAUGGAUCUGAUGAACCGUGUUUUCAAGCCUGACUUAGACAGGUUCGUUGUGGUGUUUAUCGACGACAUCUUAGUGUAUUCCCGGAGUGACGCGGAGCACGAGGAACACUUGAGACUUGUACUUCAAGUGCUUCGGAAAAAGAAGCUCUACGCCAAGUUGAAAAAGUGUGAAUUUUGGCUUAGAGAGGUGGCGUUUUUGGGCCAUGUGAUUUCAGGAUCAGGCAUAGCCGUGGACCUGAGGAAAAUUGAAGCUAUCAAGGAUUGGCCGAGGCCGACGAGCGUGACCGAGAUACGGAGCUUUAUUGGUUUGGCCGGCUACUACCGACGGUUUGUCGAGGGAUUUGCGAAAUUAUCUACUCCCCUCACGAGACUCACGCAUAACGGCACCAAGUUUAUUUGGAAUAAUGCUUUUGAAAGGAGCUUUCAAGAGUUGAAGCAGCGAUUUACGACUGCCCCAAUCCUUACCUUGCCGACUGCUGGAGCAGGGUAUGUGAUUUAUAGUGAUACUUCAUUUAAUGGAUUGGGCUGUGUUUUGAUGCAGGACGGGAAAGUGAUCGCGUAUGCAUCUCGCCAACUAAAGGAUUAUGAAAGGAAUUACCCUACUCACGACUUGGAGUGGGCGGCCGUAGUCUUUGCAUUGAAGCUAUGGCGCCAUUACCUCUAUGGCGAGCGAUGCGAAGUAUAUACAGAUCACAAAAGCUUAAAGUAUCUUUUCACUCAGAAGGAGUUGAACUUGAGGCAGCGCAGAUGGUUGGAGCUACUCAAGGAUUAUGACUUGACUAUUCUUUACCACCCGGGCAAGGCUAACGUGGUGGCGGAUGCGCUAAGUAGGAAAUCGACUGAAAACUUAGCGAUGCUUGUGGUUACUCAACCGCCGUUGAUCGAGCAGAUGAAGCGGUUGGAGUUGGAGGUGGUGGCUCCUGAUACACCUUUGAGACUGAUGACUUUGGUGGUGCAACCUACACUUUUGGAAAGGAUUAAAGAAAAGCAAGCUUCUGAUGUGGAGUUGCAAAAGAUUAAAGGUAAAAUGGUUGAUGGUUGCACCGGCGACUUCGCUUUUGACGGCGAGGGAUUGAUGCGUUUCCGCGGACGACUUUGUGUACCGGCGGACUUGGGCGUUAAAGAGGACAUACUUCAUGAAGCACACCGAGCACCGUAUGCUAUACAUCCGGGGGGCACCAAGAUGUACAAGGAUUUGAAAUUACUUUAUUGGUGGCCCGGGAUGAAAAAGGAUGUUGAUGAAUUUGUUGCUAGAUGUUUGACUUGCCAACAGGUGAAGGCUGAGCACCGAGUUCCUGCGGGGAAAUUGCAAAGCCUACCGAUUCCAGUGUGGAAGUCGGAGAAGAUCACCAUGGACUUCGUGAUGGGAUUGCCUCGCUCACAGGCCGGGCAUGACGCUAUUUGGGUGAUUGUGGAUAGGUUGACGAAAUCGGCACAUUUCAUACCUAUCCACACUACUUGGUCUGGUGAGAGACUCGCACAGGUUUAUUUGGAUGAGAUUGUGUGAUUGCACGGGGUACCUACUUCCAUAGUAUCAGAUCGAGACCCCCGUUUUGUAUCCCACUUUUGGAGGAGCUUACAGGACGCUCUGGGUACGCGUUUGGACUUUAGUACAGCCUUCCACCCCCAGAGUGACGGGUAGUCGGAGCGUACUAUACAGACUCUCGAGGACAUGCUUCGAGCCUGCGUGAUCGACUUCCAGGGAGGAUGGUCGCUGCAUCUACCGAUGGCAGAGUUUGCUUAUAACAAUAGUUAUCAAGCAAGCAUCAAGAUGGCACCGUUCGAGGCACUAUAUGGACGGAAGUGUAGGUCGCCGCUUCAUUGGAGUGAAGUUGCCGAGAGAUUGGCUUUAGGCCCAGAUGUGCUCCAGGAAGCAAAGGACAAGGUUCGUAUUGCUCGGGAGCGAUUGUUGACGGCCCAGAGUAGGCAGAGGAGUUAUGUUGACAGGCGGCGAUGAGACUUGGAGUUUCAGAUUGGAGAUCACGUCUUCUUGAAAGUCUCGCCGACUCGAGGAAUUAGACGAUUUGGAAUCCGGGGCAAGUUGAGCCCCCGAUAUAUUGGACCGUAUGAGGUUUUGGAGCGUGUAGGCCCAGUAGCGUAUCGACUUGCUCUACCGCCGAACCUAUCGGGUGUACACAAUGUAUUCCAUGUAUCGGUCCUUCGGAAGUACAUCCACGACCCGGCUCAUGUAUUGGAUGCUACACCUAUGGAGCUGCGGGAGGGUUUGAGCUUUGAGGAGCAACCCUUGAGAAUUUUGGCUCGCGAGGUAAAAAGAUUGCGGAACCGAAAAAUUCUCUACGUGAAGGUGCUUUGGAGCAACCACGACGAGCGCGAGGCCACUUAGGAGUUGGAGAGCGCACUGCGGGAGCGCUAUCCCCAUCUUUUUCAGAUGGAGGCUUGAGGUACUUUGUUGUUUCGAGUUUCGCGGACGAAACUCCUUUUUAGGAGGGGUGAAUGUAACACACUGGACCUUUGCAAAUUGCGAGGUUCGAGUGAUUAGCUGUGCUCUGAGCUUUUCCAGAUUUCCUGGUAGGUCGAUGACUGUGUUCCGACCUAUGGCACGUGUCCCAAGGAGUGUGGUACAAAGCCUUGCACUAAAACCCAAAAAUUUGGAUUUUGGUCAGCUCUCGGAUUGGCUGUCUGGCGGGCUUGUACCGGUACAAGGUUGUGCUUGUACCGGUACAGAGCCGCGAACUCGCAAACCCGAGCCUCGGGUUUGCAUUUUCGCAGGUCUCGUACCGAUACAAGGAUGGUCUUGUACCGGUACAAUGUUGAUGGUUGUACCGGUACAGCCAUCGGGCUUGUACCGGUACAGUGCCGCAGAACCACGCACCCGAGCCUCGGUUUUGGAUUUUCGUAGCUCUUGUACCUGUACAAGAUCCCGUGUACCGGUACAAGGAGGCAGAUUCUGCACAGUUUGUUCUGCAGGGGCUUAUUUGCGAUUGUGGGCUUCUUAUAACAGCACCCACGCCCCUAGGGCACUCCCCUGAGCUCGGAAGAGCAGAGAACCAGGUAAGGAAGCUUCCCACACUUUCCCACUUGGUUUUGAUUUCAUUCUAGUUUGGAUUUUGAUGGUUUUUCCCUCUCUUUUGCCUAUUGGAACUAUUUCCACCAUUUUUGAAGCUUGGAGCUUGGGUUUGGAGUUUGUUUGAGGGAAGAUACUUGAAGUUUGAGGACUUGUUCAGAGACCGGCGACAGGGGCAGCAUUCCCCGUGAUGGCCGAGGGAGCCGAGCGGGAUCGGCUUAUGGAGCGCCUCAGUGAGUUCAGGAGGUGCAGCCCGAGGAUGUUUGAUGGCGAGAACGUCGACCCCUGGAUUGUCGAGAAGUGGUUGAUGCAUAUGGAAAAGCUGUUUCGAGACACUUUUGUGGAGGAGCGGGACAGAGUUUGGCUCGCCACUCACUUUCUGGACGGCGAGGCCUACCGUUGGUGGUUGGAUAUCCAGGACAACCCCAACACCGACUUGGCAGCGAUUACUUGGACUAGGUUCAAGGAGCUUCUUCUGGCGCACCACUUUCCUACCAGCGUCAAGAGGAAGAUGGAGCAUGAUUUGCGCAGCUUGCGCCAGGAUGAGCGGUCAGUGGCUUAGUACGAGAGGGAGUUCUCCCGGAUACUACACUGUGUACCGUUUGUUGUGAGGGACGACGAGGACAAGGCCCGCAUCUUUGAGCGCAGUUUGCGGCCUUCUAUCUUCCGGUUGGUGCAAUCUUCCAACCUCUAGACCUAUCGGGAGGUUGUGGAUCGAGCAUUCAUAGUGGAGGCAGGAGCGGCAGAUCUUCAGGAGCGACGCGAGGCCCUAGAUAAGGGCAAGGGCAAGAGGCCAGCGGCUGAGGGUGCGAGUCAGACGCACUCACGGAGGCCGCCGAGGCAUCCCAGGAGCAGGAGCCAGUCGCGAGGACGCGGCCAGUCUACCCAGCGAGGAGGACCCGAUCGUCGCCAGGCCCCCCGCUGCGUGAUCUGUGGCGGUCCUCACUACCCGCGGCAGUGUUCACGCAGCCGGGGCAGGUGCUUCUUGUUUGGCCAGGAGGGCCACUUCCAGUCGGACUGCCCGAGGAGUCCAUUGCCAGCGCCAUCUGCGGCAUCUGCACCAGCAUCGCCAGGUCCCAGCCAGGGGACAUCUUCUGCGCAUCACCAGGCAGGACGGCCGCCAGUUUUGCGGCAGGCGGAGGGGUCACGACGGGCCCCGAGCGGGCGCAUGUAUGCGGCCCAGACUGAGGAGGUGGCGGCAGCCGA
Molecule: long non-coding RNA, 5942 nt
Filed under: Ananas comosus (pineapple)
Lineage: Eukaryota; Viridiplantae; Streptophyta; Magnoliopsida; Poales; Bromeliaceae
Description: long non-coding RNA (ACOM_LNC036011)
Source: RNAcentral